Molecule: ribosomal RNA, 859 nt
Filed under: uncultured bacterium
Lineage: Bacteria
Description: bacterial SSU rRNA
Rfam family: Bacterial small subunit ribosomal RNA
Source: RNAcentral
AAUACAUGCAAGUCGAACGGCAGCACGGGUAGCAAUACCUGGUGGCGAGUGGCGCACGGGUGCGAAAACGCGUAUGCAAUCUACCUAUAACCGGGGAAUAACUCUUCGAAAGAAGAGCUAAUACCGCAUAACAUCAUGAAGUGGCAUCACAUUAUGAUUAAACCUACGGGGGUUAUAGAUGAGCAUGCGUCCGAUUAGCUAGUUGGCGAGGUAACGGCUCACCAAGGCAACGAUCGGUAGGGGUUCUGAGAGGAAGAUCCCCCACACUGGUACUGAGACACGGACCAGACUCCUACGGGAGGCAGCAGUAAGGAAUAUUGGACAAUGGGCGCAAGCCUGAUCCAGCCAUGCCGCGUGCAGGAUGAAGGUGUUAUGCACUGUAAACUGCUUUUACUUGGGAAAAAACCCCUGCUUUCCAGCGGGGCUGAUUGUACCGAGAGAAUAAGGGACGGCUAACUUCGUGCCAGCAGCCGCGGUAAUACGAAGGUCCCAAGCGUUAUCCGGAUUUAUUGGGUUUAAAGGGUGCGUAGGCGGGCUAUUAAGUCAGUGGUGAAAUCUCCAUGCCUAACAUGGAAACUGCCAUUGAUACUGAUGGUCUUGAGUACAUUUGAAGUGGGCGGAAUGUGUCAUGUAGUGGUGAAAUACUUAGAUAUGACACAGAACACCGAUUGCGUAGGCAGCUCACUAAACUGUAACUGACGCUGAGGCACGAAAGCGUGGGGAGCAAACAGGAUUAGAUACCCUGGUAGUCCACGCCCUAAACGAUGAUCACUAGAUGUGUGCGAUACACUGUACGCGUCCAAGCGAAAGCAUUAAGUGAUCCACCUGGGGAGUACGGCCGCAAGGCUGAAACUCAAAU